Molecule: small nuclear RNA, 105 nt
Organism: Nannospalax galili (Upper Galilee mountains blind mole rat)
Lineage: Eukaryota; Metazoa; Chordata; Mammalia; Rodentia; Spalacidae
Source: Ensembl
GUAGUCUUUGAAAACACAUAUACUAAAGUUGGAAUGAUAACAGUAAGAUUAGUGUGGUGACUGUGUGAGGAUUACUUGCAAAUUUGUGAAACAGUCCAGAUUUUU